This is a non-coding RNA of Zea mays, 197 nucleotides long. The record is from Rfam. Lineage: Eukaryota; Viridiplantae; Streptophyta; Magnoliopsida; Poales; Poaceae.
AUACCUUUCUCGGCCUUUUGGCUAAGAUCAAGUGUAGUAUCUGUUCUUAUCAGUUUAAUAUCUGAUAUGUGAACCAUGUGUUCAUUUCGAUAUUAAAUUUAUUUUUUACGGGGGAGAACCCAUCAUAAUAGCUUGCUAUUGGGGUCCUUGAGUGUCGCUCGGACGUUGCACUGCUGCCCGAGCAUGGCGCACCCCAG